GGGCAUGUGGCGGAAUUGGUAGACGCGCUACGUUCAGGUCGUAGUCGGGGCAACCCGGUGGAGGUUCGAGUCCUCUCAUGCCCA
RNAcentral lists this transfer RNA (84 nucleotides) under Patescibacteria group bacterium. Its description in RNAcentral is "tRNA-Leu". It matches the Rfam family "tRNA". From Rfam's summary of the family: Transfer RNA (tRNA) molecules are approximately 80 nucleotides in length. Their secondary structure includes four short double-helical elements and three loops (D, anti-codon, and T loops). Further hydrogen bonds mediate the characteristic L-shaped molecular structure. tRNAs have two regions of fundamental functional importance: the anti-codon, which is responsible for specific mRNA codon recognition, and the 3' end, to which the tRNAs corresponding amino acid is attached (by aminoacyl-tRNA synthetases). tRNAs cope with the degeneracy of the genetic code in two manners: having more than one tRNA (with a specific anti-codon) for a particular amino acid; and 'wobble' base-pairing, i.e. permitting non-standard base-pairing at the 3rd anti-codon position. The record is from RNAcentral.